Molecule: ribosomal RNA, 468 nt
Filed under: uncultured bacterium
Lineage: Bacteria
Description: partial 16S ribosomal RNA
Rfam family: Bacterial small subunit ribosomal RNA
Source: RNAcentral
GACGAACGCUGGCGGCGUGCUUAACACAUGCAAGUCGAACGGAAAGGCCCUGCUCUUGUGGGGUGCUCGAGUGGCGAACGGGUGAGUAACACGUGAGUAACCUGCCCUUGACUUUGGGAUAACUUCAGGAAACUGGGGCUAAUACCGGAUAGGAGCUCCUGCUGCGUGGUGGGGGUUGGAAAGUUUCGGCGGUUGGGGAUGGACUCGCGGCUUAUCAGCUUGUUGGUGGGGUAGUGGCUUACCAAGGCUUUGACGGGUAGCCGGCCUGAGAGGGUGACCGGCCACAUUGGGACUGCGAUACGGCCCAGACUCCUACGGGCGGCAGCAGUGGGGAAUAUUGCACAGUGGGCGGACGCCUGAUGCAGAAACGCCGCGUGCGGGAUGACGGCCUUCGGGUUGUAAACCGCUUUCGCCUGUGACGAAGCGUGAGUGACGGUAAUGGGUAAAGAAGCACCGGCUAACUACGUG